This 459-nucleotide ribosomal RNA is filed under the name uncultured bacterium. RNAcentral describes it as "partial 16S ribosomal RNA". It matches the Rfam family "Bacterial small subunit ribosomal RNA", at positions 338 to 795 of the family's 1533-position model. The record is from RNAcentral.
CCUACGGGAGGCAGCAGUGCGGAAUAUUGGUCAAUGGACGGAAGCCUGAACCAGCCAAGUAGCGUGCGGGAUGAAGGCCCUACGUGUCGUAAACCGCUUUUGCACGGGAAUAACACCCUCCACUUGUGCCUGCCUGCAGGUACCGUACGAAUAAGGACCGGCUAAUUCCGUGCCAGCAGCCGCGGUAAUACGGAGGGUCCGAGCGUUAUCCGGAUUCAUUGGGUUAAAAGGGAGCGUAGGCGGGCGUUCACGUCAGCUGUAAAAGCGCGCGGCUCAACCGCGCCCCGCAGUUGAAACUGGAAGUCUUGAGUGCACAACAGGCAGGCGGAAUUCGUGGUGUAGCGGUGAAAUGCAUAGAGAUCACGAGGAACCCCGAUUGCGAAGGCAGCCUGCCGGGGUGCGACUGACGCUGAGGCUCGAAGGUGCGGGUAUCAAACAGGAUUAGAUACCCUAGUAGUC